AGAGUUUGAUCCUGGCUCAGGAUGAACGCUGGCGGCGUGCUUAACACAUGCAAGUCGAACGGAGCCUUUUAGGUGCUUGCACCGGGAAGGCUUAGUGGCGGACGGGUGAGUAACGCGUGGGUAACCUGCCCUGUACAGGGGGAUAACAGUUAGAAAUGACUGCUAAAACCGCAUAACAUCGUCAAACCGCAUGAUUUGGCGGUCAAAUAUUUAUAGGUACAGGAUGGGCCCGCGUCUGAUUAGCUGGUUGGUAGGGUAACGGCCUACCAAGGCGACGAUCAGUAGCCGUACUGAGAGGUAGGACGGCCACAUUGGGACUGAGACACGGCCCAAACUCCUACGGGAGGCAGCAGUGGGGAAUAUUGGACAAUGGGGGGAACCCUGAUCCAGCGACGCCGCGUGAGUGAAGAAGUAUUUCGGUAUGUAAAGCUCUAUCAGCAGGGACGAUAAUGACGGUACCUGACUAAGAAGCCCCGGCUAACUACGUGCCAGCAGCCGCGGUAAUACGUAGGGGGCAAGCGUUAUCCGGAUUUACUGGGUGUAAAGGGAGCGUAGGUGGUUUUGUAAGUCAGAAGUGAAAUGCCGGGGCUCAACCCCGGAGCUGCUUUUGAAACUGCAGGACUGGAGUGCAGGAGAGGUAAGUGGAAUUCCUAGUGUAGCGGUGAAAUGCGUAGAUAUUAGGAGGAACACCGGUGGCGAAGGCGGCUUACUGGACUGUAACUGACACUGAGGCUCGAAAGCGUGGGGAGCAAACAGGAUUAGAUACCCUGGUAGUCCACGCCGUAACGAUGAAUACUAGG
This 800-nucleotide ribosomal RNA is filed under the name uncultured bacterium. RNAcentral describes it as "bacterial SSU rRNA". It matches the Rfam family "Bacterial small subunit ribosomal RNA", at positions 8 to 820 of the family's 1533-position model. The record is from RNAcentral.